This 515-nucleotide ribosomal RNA is filed under the name uncultured bacterium. RNAcentral describes it as "partial 16S ribosomal RNA". It matches the Rfam family "Bacterial small subunit ribosomal RNA", at positions 28 to 523 of the family's 1533-position model. The record is from RNAcentral.
GAUGAACGCUGGCGGCGUGCCUAAUACAUGCAAGUCGAGCGAAUGGAUUAAGAGCUUGCUCUUAUGAAGUUAGCGGCGGACGGGUGAGUAACACGUGGGUAACCUGCCCAUAAGACUGGGAUAACUCCGGGAAACCGGGGCUAAUACCGGAUAACAUUUUGAACCGCAUGGUUCGAAAUUGAAAGGCGGCUUCGGCUGUCACUAAUGGAUGGACCCGCGUCGCAUUAGCAAGUUGGUGAGGUAACGGCUCACCAAGGCAACGAUGCGUAGCCCACCUGAGAGGGCGGUCGGCCACACUGGGACUGAGACACGGCCCAGACUCCUACGGGAGGCAGCAGUAGGGAAUCUUCCGCAAUGGACGAAAGUCUGACGGAGCAACGCCGCGUGAGUGAUGAAGGCUUUCGGGUCGUAAAACUCUGUUGUUAGGGAAGAACAAGUGCUAGUUGAAUAAGCUGGCACCUUGACGGUACCUAACCAGAAAGCCACGGCUAACUACGUGCCAGCAGCCGCCGCCG